Molecule: non-coding RNA, 211 nt
Filed under: Ruegeria sp. ANG-S4
Lineage: Bacteria; Pseudomonadati; Pseudomonadota; Alphaproteobacteria; Rhodobacterales; Roseobacteraceae
Also listed under: 1 other name
Source: RNAcentral
AUGUCCUGUCGCCGCGAUGGUUCCCCAUCGCCUUGGGCGAGACGGGACAAAAGGGAAUACGGUGCGGCCAACAAAAAGGCCAAGUCCGUGACUGCCCCCGCAACUGUAGGCGGUGAGCGACCCCGAGAUCGACCACUGGGCCAAAGCCUGGGAAGGAUCGGGAGAGCGUUGACCCGCAAGUCAGGAGACCUGCCAUCCGAUUUGUAAACCA